Molecule: long non-coding RNA, 555 nt
Organism: Pomacea canaliculata
Lineage: Eukaryota; Metazoa; Mollusca; Gastropoda; Architaenioglossa; Ampullariidae
Exons: 3
Source: RefSeq, a predicted model, not a curated record
UUUUCUUAACUUAUUCAGUAUUUUCUAUACUUAACACCACCUUCUUGUUAAUUUGUAUAAUAUAAAACACAGGUACUGUACUAUAUGUUCACCUUAUUAUACAGCUUGUUAACUUGUAUCAGUAAGACAUAGCAACUGAAUGUACCUUAUUCACUUGUGUUAGUUAUUUAUUGUACCUUGUUUAUUUGCAUUAGGACUGACUAUACCUUGUCAACUUUUAUUAGUCAGAUACAGACUGGUUGUAUCUUUUUUUUAAUUUUGUAUUGCAGCGCUUGCUAUUCUAGCCUUUGACUGUUAACUUUUAUUAUUUGUAAACAGACUGGUUAUAUCUUCUUUUUAGUUUUAUAUUGUAGUGCUUGUUAUUGCAGCCUUCCACCGUCAUGACAAACCUGAGCAGGGGUAAUGUCCAGACCACCACUCCAUCCAUAUAUCCAACUCUAACAAUCCACCAGAUGGCGGCACAAGGGGAGGUAGUCAUACUGCAACAAGAAUUACAUGAUGGAAUUGACAUCAACAGUGUUGACGAAAAUGUCUCACGGCUCUGCACUGGGCCUG